UACGAGGGGGGCAAGCGUUGUUCGGAAUUAUUGGGCGUAAAGCGUGCGCAGGCGGUUUUGUAAGUCUGUUGUGAAAUCCCCGGGCUCAACCUGGGAAUGGCAAUGGAGACUGCAAGGCUAGAGUUUGGCAGAGGGGGGUAGAAUUCCACGUGUAGCAGUGAAAUGCGUAGAUAUGUGGAGGAACACCGAUGGCGAAGGCAGCCCCCUGGGUCAAAACUGACGCUCAUGCACGAAAGCGUGGGGAGCAAACAGG
RNAcentral lists this ribosomal RNA (253 nucleotides) under uncultured bacterium. RNAcentral describes it as "partial 16S ribosomal RNA". It matches the Rfam family "Bacterial small subunit ribosomal RNA", at positions 524 to 776 of the family's 1533-position model. The record is from RNAcentral.